This is a long non-coding RNA of Asparagus officinalis (garden asparagus), 203 nucleotides long. RefSeq lists it as uncharacterized. The record is from RefSeq and is a predicted model, not a curated record. Lineage: Eukaryota; Viridiplantae; Streptophyta; Magnoliopsida; Asparagales; Asparagaceae. The transcript has 3 exons.
GGUCGGACAAUCAGCAACAUGAAGGGCAAGAAAUGGUACAGGAAAGGAAUUCUGAUGCUGUAGUUGCAGAAGUGCCAACAGAGAGCAGGACAGUGGUUGAUGAAAAGCACGCGGCUUCCUCUCCACUACAAGCAGGUGAAAAGAAGGGAGAUAAUGCAAGUAGGUCAAGUAGUUCGAGCAGCUCGGGUAAUGAGAGAAUUUGC